This 949-nucleotide long non-coding RNA is filed under the name Homo sapiens (human). Its description in RNAcentral is "HSALNT0144997". Lineage: Eukaryota; Metazoa; Chordata; Mammalia; Primates; Hominidae. The record is from RNAcentral.
CUAGAAUCAUUCUGAAUAGCUAACCAGGAGGCUGGGCCCCGUGUGGAUCCGCCUCCGCUGGAAAAGCCGCUGCUGGAAGUGCUCCAAUCCAGAGCAGGAUACCUGGGGGAGGAACGGGUUAAGCGCAAAGGGGAAAGGGGCAGCGGGUGCUGAGACGCAGAAGGUGCGGGGACUUCUACAGAGCAGGGAAUCUGGGCCCGGAUGAACUGAUGCCCUGGCCUCUUUCCUCCAGGGACAAGGUCGGUCUCAGGAAAUCAAGGAAUUUAGAAGUGAAGUGCAGAGCAGAGCCUCCAAGAGCAUCGGAAAUGGGAAAAUCUGACCAUAUCAAGUGUUGACAAGGAAAUGGAGCAACUGGAACUGCCAGACACUGUUGGUGGACAUGCAAAGUGGUACAACUUUCAAAAUCUUUUUGAAAGGCCUUGAUUACCCAGCAAUUCUGCUCCUAGAUACACACCUAACAUUGUGUUUCUGUUGAUAGCAGCAGUGUUUAUAAUUGCCCCAAACUGGAAACUACUGAAAUGCUCAUCAGCCGUUAAAUGGAUACAUAAAUUGUGAUAUAUUCACACAGUGGAAUGACAGCAAUGACAGUGAAUAAUCAACUACACACAACAACAUGGAUGACUCUCACAAAUGAUGUUGAGGAAAAGAAGCCAGAGGAUAAAAAGCCAUAUUUGUUUCCAUGUGGAUAAAGUGGUAGAAGGCUGUGCAGUCAAGAUGCAUGUGCCUGUGGGGCACGGUGAUUCACGCCUGUAAUUCUAACACUUUGGAAGGCCAAAGCGGGUGGAUUGCUUGAGCCCAGGAGUUUGAGACCAGCCUGAGCAACAUGGUAAGACCCUAUCUCUAUUAAAAAAAAAAAAAGACGUGUGUGUUUUUCCAUGUGUAUGCAGUAUCUCAACAGAGGGUUAGUAAGUACAUCAAUGGUCUGUAGACAGUCCAAAGCAGCAUCAGA